Molecule: non-coding RNA, 450 nt
Organism: Camellia sinensis
Lineage: Eukaryota; Viridiplantae; Streptophyta; Magnoliopsida; Ericales; Theaceae
Source: RefSeq, a predicted model, not a curated record
AAUCCAACAAUCUAUUUUUAAAAAAUUCCUUUUAGAGUUCAUAUCUGUGCCUUUAUUCAUGUUGAUGAGGCAUGGGUGACUCAUGCAACUAAAAGUAAAAGAUCCACCAACUAACUUUUCUAUGUAUACAAAUACGUUGCAAAAUACAUGACCUCUGACAGUGGAAGAGAACAAUCUAGACUCAUUGCUUACUGCAGACAGCAAAUCCAAGGGAGAAACAGACAGCUUUAAAUUAUAGUGAUUCACCAUCAAGUUUAUGCGAAGAACCUGCAAAUGGAACAUGUUAUUGGAAUUCCAGUGAGCUCGGUAAAUUAUUCAGUUCAGCAGUCACCAAAAAGACUUCUAUGCAAUCCUGAUAACCAAUACCAUAUUCCCCCUCCUCCAAAUGGACCUUUCAAAUUCAAACAGAAUAAAGAAGGUACAGUGAUUGAUAAGAUGAACAAGUUCGGA